AUUGAACGCUGGCGGCAUGCCUUACACAUGCAAGUCGAACGGCAGCACGGGAGCAAUCCUGGUGGCGAGUGGCGAACGGGUGAGUAAUAUAUCGGAACGUGCCCGGUCGUGGGGAUAACGUAGCGAAAGCUACGCUAAUACCGCAUACGAUCUACGGAUGAAAGCGGGGGAUCGCAAGACCUCGCGCGAUUGGAGCGGCCGAUAUCAGAUUAGGUAGUUGGUGAGGUAAAGGCUCACCAAGCCGACGAUACUGUAGCUGGUCUGAGAGGAUGAUCAGCCACACUGGAACUGA
RNAcentral lists this ribosomal RNA (292 nucleotides) under uncultured bacterium. RNAcentral's name for it is "partial 16S ribosomal RNA". It matches the Rfam family "Bacterial small subunit ribosomal RNA", at positions 30 to 322 of the family's 1533-position model. The record is from RNAcentral.